RNAcentral lists this ribosomal RNA (835 nucleotides) under uncultured Chloroflexota bacterium. Its description in RNAcentral is "bacterial SSU rRNA". It matches the Rfam family "Bacterial small subunit ribosomal RNA", at positions 47 to 898 of the family's 1533-position model. Lineage: Bacteria; Bacillati; Chloroflexota. The record is from RNAcentral.
UUGGCUGCAUCUCAGUGAAUUGACGGGGAAUCGAAUUCCCGCGGCCGCGAUGGCGGGCGGGAGCAUGCGUCGUCGGGCCCCUUCGCCCUAUAGAGAGUCGUAUUAAAGCGGGGCUAAGACCGCGUAAGCUCUCAUUGUUUAGCAAGGUGAGAGGAAAACCCUUCGGGGUGGCAUGGGCGGGGGCUGCGGUCCAUCAGCUGGUUGGUGGGGUAACGGCCUACCAAGGCGACGACGGAUCGGGGACCUGAGAGGGUGAUCCCCCACACUGGAACUGACACACGGUCCAGACUCCUACGGGAGGCAGCAGUAAGGAAUAUUGGUCAAUGGGCGCAAGCCUGAACCAGCAACGCCGCGUGCGGGAUGAAGGGUUUCGGCCUGUAAACCGCUUUUCUGACGGACGAUGAUGACGGUACGUCAGGAAGAAGUCUCGGCUAACUACGUGCCAGCAGCCGCGGUAAAACGUAGGAGGCAAGCGUUAUCCGGAUUUACUGGGCGUAAAGCGCGUGCAGGCGGUCGGGUAAGUCGUGCGUGAAAGCUCCUCGCUCAACGGGGAGAGGACGUGCGAGACUGCUCGACUAGAGGAUGGUAGAGGCAAGUGGAAUUCCGGGUGGAGUGGUGAAAUGCGUAGAGAUCCGGAGGAACCCCUGUGGCGAAGGCGACUUGCUAGGCCAUCCCUGACGCUCAGACGCGAAAGCAUGGGGAGCGAACGGGAUUAGAAACCCCGGUAGUCCAUGCCGUAAACGAUGUUCACUAGGCGUUUCGGGGCGUUAGCUCUGGGGUGCCGCAGCCAACGCGGGAAGUGAACCGCCUGGGGGAGUACGACCGCAAGGUUCAC